RNAcentral lists this ribosomal RNA (253 nucleotides) under uncultured bacterium. RNAcentral's name for it is "partial 16S ribosomal RNA". It matches the Rfam family "Bacterial small subunit ribosomal RNA", at positions 524 to 776 of the family's 1533-position model. The record is from RNAcentral.
UACAGAGGGUGCAAGCGUUAAUCGGCAUUAGUGGGCGUAAAGCGCGUGCGGACGGAUAUCUAAGUCGAGUGUGAAAGCCCCGGGCUAAACCUGGGAAUUGCAUUCGAAACUGAAUAGCUAGGGUGCGGAAUAGGGAAGUGGAAUUUCCGGUGUAGCGGUGAAAUGCGUAGAUAUCGGAAGGAACAUCAGUGGCGAAAGCGACGUCCUGGUCCAGCACCGACGAUCAGGCACGAAAGCGUGGGGAGCAAAUAGG